AGCAGUCGCCGCGAUAAUACGUAGGUGGCAAGCGUUGUCCGGAAUUAUUGGGCGUAAAGGGCUCGCAGGCGGUUUCUUAAGUCUGAUGUGAAAGCCCCCGGCUCAACCGGGGAGGGUCAUUGGAAACUGGGAAACUUGAGUGCAGAAGAGGAGAGUGGAAUUCCACGUGUAGCGGUGAAAUGCGUAGAGAUGUGGAGGAACACCAGUGGCGAAGGCGACUCUCUGGUCUGUAACUGACGCUGAGGAGCGAAAGCGUGGGAAGCAAACAGGAUUAGAUACCCGCGUAGUCCCUGUCUCUUAUAC
RNAcentral lists this ribosomal RNA (303 nucleotides) under uncultured bacterium. Its description in RNAcentral is "partial 16S ribosomal RNA". It matches the Rfam family "Bacterial small subunit ribosomal RNA", at positions 507 to 807 of the family's 1533-position model. The record is from RNAcentral.